UACGUAGGGUGCAAGCGUUAAUCGGAAUUACUGGGCGUAAAGCGUGCGCAGGCGGUUCUAUAAGACAGAUGUGAAAUCCCCAGGCUCAACCUGGGAACUGCGUCCGAUACUGGAUGGCUUGAAUUCGGGAGAGGGAUGCAGAAUUCCAGGUGUAGCGGUGAAAUGCGUAGAUAUCUGGAGGAAUACCGGUGGCGAAGGCGGCAUCCUGGACCGACAUUGACGCUGAUGAGCGAAAGCUAGGGGAGCAAACGGG
RNAcentral lists this ribosomal RNA (253 nucleotides) under uncultured bacterium. RNAcentral describes it as "partial 16S ribosomal RNA". It matches the Rfam family "Bacterial small subunit ribosomal RNA", at positions 524 to 776 of the family's 1533-position model. The record is from RNAcentral.